UGGUGAGAUCUCUCACGUGCUUUUUCUCUGACCCAGCUUGGAUACUCCGAGGGGGAGGCCAAGAGCUCGUUUGUCUUGGGGGUGGAGGAGCAGCGCUUCCGCAUCAGCACCAGGCUGCUGGCUGUGAACGCCACCCUUGCCAGCACCGUCAGCCUGGAACAGACCUUCCCCCAGCUCAGUGCCCUUCCCGGGGAGCUGGUGCUGCGGACCACGUACGAGCGAGCCCGUGGGACCCGCGUCCUGUGCCAGUCGGUGCUGUGGGAUGGCCGGGAGGUGGCCCUCAAUGGGAGCUUCUCUGGGCCCUUCCCCAAGCCCGCCGGGAACCUCAGCCUGCAAGUGGAUCUCACACAUGCGCUGUCCCUUCCCCUGCCGCGGCACUGCAGCCUCGAUCUGUCCUUGGAGCACUCCGGAGGCAGCCACCAGGGCCACCUGGUUGCCAGCUGGGACGCCAGGGACCAGGUGGUGGUCUCCUCGUCUCUGCAGCUGGAGAAGGACAGGCUGACUGCCCGCCUGGCUCUGGCUCAGCCCUUCAGCCUCUCCUGGCAGCACGCAGAGGCCAGUGGC
Molecule: long non-coding RNA, 564 nt
Organism: Tupaia belangeri chinensis (Chinese tree shrew)
Lineage: Eukaryota; Metazoa; Chordata; Mammalia; Scandentia; Tupaiidae
Exons: 4
Source: RefSeq, a predicted model, not a curated record